Molecule: ribosomal RNA, 554 nt
Filed under: uncultured bacterium
Lineage: Bacteria
Description: partial 16S ribosomal RNA
Rfam family: Bacterial small subunit ribosomal RNA
Source: RNAcentral
UAGGGAAUCUUCCACAAUGGACGCAAGUCUGAUGGAGCAACGCCGCGUGAGCGAAGAAGGCUUUCGGGUCGUAAAACUCUGUUAUUGAAGAAGAACGUGUGUGACAGUAACUGGUCAUGCAGUGACGGUAUUCAAUCAGAAAGUCACGGCUAACUACGUGCCAGCAGCCGCGGUAAUACGUAGGUGGCAAGCGUUGUCCGGAUUUAUUGGGCGUAAAGCGAGUGCAGGCGGUCUUUUAAGUCUGAUGUGAAAGCCUUCGGCUUAACCGAAGAAGGGCAUCGGAAACUGGGAGACUUGAGUGCAGAAGAGGAGAGUGGAACUCCAUGUGUAGCGGUGAAAUGCGUAGAUAUAUGGAAGAACACCAGUGGCGAAGGCGGCUCUCUGGUCUGUAACUGACGCUGAGGCUCGAAAGCGUGGGUAGCAAACAGGAUUAGAUACCCCGGUAGUCCACGCCGUAAACGAUGAAUACUAAGUGUUGGAGGGUUUCCGCCCUUCAGUGCUGCAGCUAACGCAUUAAGUAUUCCGCCUGGGGAGUACGACCGCAAGGUUGAAAC